GGGUUAGUAGGUCGGUCGUGCCACUGGUAUGAACUGGUUUUACUGAUUCCUCCCUCUUGAAGAACUGUAAUGCCAUUAAUUUGGUGUUGCGGGGAAUUUGGACUGUUACUUUGAAAAAAUUAGAGUGUUUAAAGCAAGCUAACGCUUGAAUACACUAGCAUGGAAUAAUGAAAUAGGACGUUCGAUCCUAUUUUGUUGGUUUCUAGGAUUGACGUA
RNAcentral lists this ribosomal RNA (216 nucleotides) under Campeiostachys nutans. RNAcentral's name for it is "Elymus nutans partial small subunit ribosomal RNA". The stretch from base 38 to 216 matches the Rfam family "Eukaryotic small subunit ribosomal RNA", at positions 684 to 864 of the family's 1831-position model. Lineage: Eukaryota; Viridiplantae; Streptophyta; Magnoliopsida; Poales; Poaceae. The record is from RNAcentral.